AAGUAAUCCGUCAGGACGAAUCUGAUCUGUAAGAGCACUAAGUCCAAAAUCCGAAACUCUGAGAUCGAAAUUAUCAUCGAGAAGGAGAUUUUCUGGUUUCAAAUCGCGAUGAAAAAUUCCUCUGGAAUGACAGUAUCCAACGGCGGUAAUCAAUUGCUGAAAGUACCGACGGCUGAGAUUCUCACUGAAUCUUCCUUUAGAAACUUU
Molecule: unclassified non-coding RNA, 207 nt
Filed under: Hevea brasiliensis (rubber tree)
Lineage: Eukaryota; Viridiplantae; Streptophyta; Magnoliopsida; Malpighiales; Euphorbiaceae
Source: RNAcentral